This 24-nucleotide small nuclear RNA is filed under the name Arabidopsis thaliana (thale cress). RNAcentral's name for it is "snRNA_18834". The record is from RNAcentral. Lineage: Eukaryota; Viridiplantae; Streptophyta; Magnoliopsida; Brassicales; Brassicaceae.
GAAAACAGUUAUUUUCCUUGACCA